This is a long non-coding RNA of Salvelinus fontinalis (brook trout), 1464 nucleotides long. RefSeq lists it as uncharacterized. The record is from RefSeq and is a predicted model, not a curated record. Lineage: Eukaryota; Metazoa; Chordata; Actinopteri; Salmoniformes; Salmonidae. The transcript is spliced from 2 exons.
CUUGAACACUACCUAGCAUCAAAAAGGAAGGAGCAGAAAAGUGCAGAGAGACUUUUUUUCUCCAAUUGACCUCAAUAAAAGACAGAACGACCAUUGCAACAGUCCAAGGGGGAAGGUGAUCUGCUACUGUAGAGAAAGGAGGGGUGCGUCACUUGAGUGGGUUGAGUCACUGAUGUGAUCUUCCGGUCUGGAUUGGCGCCCCCCCUUGGUUUGUGCCGUGGCGGAGAUCUUUGUGGGCUAUACUCGGCCUUGUCUCAGGAUGGUAAGUUGGUGGUUGAAGAUAUCCCUCUAGUGGUGUGGGGGCUGUGCUUUGGCAAAGUGGGUGAGGUUAUAUCCUUCCUGUUUGGCCCUGUCCGGGGGUAUCAUCGGAUGGGGCCACAGUGUUUCCUGACCCCUCCUGUCUCAGCCUCCAGUAUUUAUGCUGCAGUAGUUUAUGUGUUGGGGGGCUAGGGUCAGUUUGUUAUAUCUGGAGGACUUCUCCUGUCUUAUCCGGUGUCCUGUGUGAACUUAAGUAUGCUCUCUCUAAUUCUCUCCUUCUCUCUUUCUUUCUCUCUCUUUCUUUCUCUCUCUCGGAGGACCUGAGCCCUAGAACCAUGCGUCAGGACUACCUGGCAUGAUGACUCCUUGCUGUCCCCACUCCACCUGGCCUUGCUGCUGCUCCAGUUUCAACUGUUCUGCCUGCGGCUAUGGAACCCUGACCUGUUCACCGGACGUGCUACCUGUCCCAGACCUGCUGUUUUCAACUCUCUAGAGACCGCAGGAGCGGUAGAGAUACUCUUAAUGAUCGGCUAUGAAAAGCCAACUGACAUUGACUCCUGAGGUGCUGACUUGCUGCACCCUCGAUAACUACUGUGAUUAUUAUUAUUUGACCAUGCUGCUCAUUUAUGAACAUUUGAACAUCUUGGCCAUGUUCUGUUAUAAUCUCCACCCGGCACAGCCAGAAGAGGACUGGCCACCCCUCAUAGCCUGGUUCCUCUCUAGGUUUCUUCCUAGGUUUUGGCCUUUCUAGGGAGUUUUUCCUAGCCACCGUGCUUUUACACCUGCAUUGCUUACUGUUUGGGGUUUUAGGCUGGGUUUCUGUACAGCACUUUGAGAUAUCAGCUGAUGUACGAAGGGCCAUAUAAAUACAUUUGAUUUGAAUUAAGAAAUACUUAAAAUACUGUCAAGUCAUGGCUGUCGUUAAAUGCUGUUCAGUUGAACUAAUGGGUGAAAUUAAGCUAUCAUGUUCAUGUCAUCAUUUAAAGGAAGGAUAAUGUUGAAAAAGAAAUUCAAGAUCACGUAUUACCUGAUUAUCUUCACCUGUUUUCUAUACGUAUUAUAUUAUGUGCACUGUGGAAAUACCAAAUGGACAUACCAUAUGUACCUUUGAGGAGAGAAAUGUCAACAUCCUAUUCACCAGCAUGUGCAGACAAUAUUGUGAGGCAAGAAUGUGGUCAGAUUGUAAUAAACCUCACAGAGGGUCUC